Molecule: transfer RNA, 75 nt
Filed under: Candidatus Magasanikbacteria bacterium RIFOXYD2_FULL_36_9
Lineage: Bacteria; Candidatus Magasanikiibacteriota
Description: tRNA-Arg
Rfam family: tRNA
About the family: Transfer RNA (tRNA) molecules are approximately 80 nucleotides in length. Their secondary structure includes four short double-helical elements and three loops (D, anti-codon, and T loops).
Source: RNAcentral
GCCCCCAUAGUUCAAUGGAUAGAACAGGCCCGUCCUAAGGGCAAAAUGUGUGUUCGAUUCAUGCUGGGGGCACGA